AAUGAAGUGCCUGAUGUAAAGGAUUAUCUUGAUAGGGUAAAAAAAGUAAAUAAAUUACCUUCAUUA
Molecule: transfer RNA, 66 nt
Filed under: Tristira magellanica
Lineage: Eukaryota; Metazoa; Arthropoda; Insecta; Orthoptera; Tristiridae
Description: tRNA-Ile
Source: RNAcentral